RNAcentral lists this ribosomal RNA (301 nucleotides) under uncultured bacterium. RNAcentral describes it as "partial 16S ribosomal RNA". It matches the Rfam family "Bacterial small subunit ribosomal RNA", at positions 509 to 809 of the family's 1533-position model. The record is from RNAcentral.
CAGUAGCCGCGGUAAUACGUAGGUGGCAAGCGUUGUCCGGAAUUAUUGGGCGUAAAGGGCUCGCAGGCGGUUUCUUAAGUCUGAUGUGAAAGCCCCCGGCCCAACCGGGGAGGGUCAUUGGAAACUGGGAAACUUGAGUGCAGAAGAGGAGAGUGGAAUUCCACGUGUAGCGGUGAAAUGCGUAGAGAUGUGGAGGAACACCAGUGGCGAAGGCGACUCUCUGGUCUGUAACUGACGCUGAGGAGCGAAAGCGUGGGGAGCGAGCAGGAUUAGAUACCCGGGUAGUCCCUGUCUCUUAUAA